RNAcentral lists this long non-coding RNA (832 nucleotides) under Mytilus galloprovincialis (Mediterranean mussel). The record is from RNAcentral. Lineage: Eukaryota; Metazoa; Mollusca; Bivalvia; Mytilida; Mytilidae.
UGAAGUUCAGAUUUUUUGUUUGUGAAAUGAAACAUAUACAACUUAAUUGUAAAUCCAUAAGAAAGAAGAAAAACCUUACAAACAUUUUGAUCAACAGUCAAAAUGUCCCCACCUCGCAGAAAAUGGGGAUGAUAUAUCUUCCUAUACGUAUGAAGUAAGAAGGGCCUGUAUUAACUACUCCAAUAAUGUCACCCUCUGGUUUAAUAUUCAAUACAGUAACAACAUUAUUUAUCAAACUAAAAAAGAUGAACAAAUAACCAUUUAAACAAGCGAUUGAGCAUCACAAAACACCACACAUAAAUAAGAGAUUGGGCAUCACAAACACAAAACAUAAAGAAGAGAUUUGGCAUUACAAAACACCAAAUAAAAAACAAGAGAUUGGGCAUUACAUAUCACCAAACAUAAAACAAGCGAUUGAGUAUCACAAAACACCUAACAAGAGAUUGGGCAUCCCAAAUCACCAAACACAAAUCAAGAGAUUGAUCAUUACAAUUCAUUAAACAUAUAAAAUAAAACAAGAGAUUGACCAUCACAAAACACUAACCUUAAACAAUGGAUUGGGUAUCACAAAUCACCAACCAUAAAAUAAAAGAUUGGGUAUCACAAAACACCAAACAUAAAACAAGAGAUUGAACAUUACAAAACAUCAAACAUAAACCAAGCGAUUGAGCAUCACAAAUCACCAAACAUAAAACAGGAUGUUGAGCAUCACAAAUAACUAAACACAAAACAAGCGAUUGAGCAUCACCAAACACCAUACAUAAAACAAGAGAUUGAGCAUUACAAAACACCAACAUAAAAACAAGAGAUUGAGCAUUACAAAUCACCAAAC